Long non-coding RNA from Sinocyclocheilus rhinocerous, 220 nucleotides. RefSeq lists it as uncharacterized. Lineage: Eukaryota; Metazoa; Chordata; Actinopteri; Cypriniformes; Cyprinidae. The transcript is spliced from 3 exons. The record is from RefSeq and is a predicted model, not a curated record.
GUUUGUUCCAAUAGCCUACAUGUCCGCCAUCUUCCAGCGAGACGUAAAUCUUUCUCUCUUAACAAUCAUCCUACCUCACAAUGUAAAGUGAAAAUGAAAGUUAGGAGAAUAAGGCAAGAAACUUCACCUUUGGGUAUUAAAUUGACUGGAAAAAGGCUGGACUGUUCAUAAAGUUAAGAAAAUUAACAGGAACAGAAAGAGAAGACCCAUCUUAGAGCGA